UUAGGAAUAUUCGUCAAUGGGGGAAACCCUGAACGAGCAAUGCCGCGUGAAUGAUGACGGUCCUCUGGAUUGUAAAAUUCUGUUGUUGAGGAAGAACGUUUGGUAUAGGAAAUGAUAUCAAAGUGACGGUACUCUUCAAGAAAGCUCCGGCUAACUACGUGCCAGCAGCCGCGGUAAUACGUAGGGAGCAAGCGUUAUCCGAAUUUAUUGGGUGUAAAGCGUGUGUAGGCGGUUUAUUAAGUCCAAGGUUUAAUUCCGAAGCUUAACUUCGGUUCGCCUUGGAAACUGGUUUACUUGAGUAUGGUAGAGGCAAGUGGAAUUUCUAGUGUAGCGGUAAAAUGCUUAGAUAUUAGAAGGAACACCAGUGGCGAAGGCGACUUGCUGGGCCAUCACUGACGCUGAGGCACGAAAGCGUGGGGAGCAAAUAGG
This 429-nucleotide ribosomal RNA is filed under the name uncultured bacterium. RNAcentral's name for it is "bacterial SSU rRNA". It matches the Rfam family "Bacterial small subunit ribosomal RNA", at positions 355 to 776 of the family's 1533-position model. The record is from RNAcentral.